RNAcentral lists this unclassified non-coding RNA (454 nucleotides) under Hevea brasiliensis (rubber tree). The record is from RNAcentral. Lineage: Eukaryota; Viridiplantae; Streptophyta; Magnoliopsida; Malpighiales; Euphorbiaceae.
AAGCAGGCAAAAACAAAAUACAACUGCGAUAAUAUUCUCUUGCCAAUCCCAUAUAGUGUAAGUCAUACUCAGUAACUUCACUAAAUAUAACUGUCCUUGAGUGUUUGAGAGGAAAAAAUGUAGCUUUUUUGCCAGAAUUUCAGAAUAUUCAUAACAAUUCUUAAAAAGCACUCCAUGGGCUUUAAACAAGCUAACAUAUUCCUCUUCUUUCUACAUCAAUUUUCACAUACAAAAUUAAUGAGUUGCAAGAAGAUCAAUAAAAACAUGACUUAAAGAAUUAUACACUGCAAUUCUAAAUAUGGGAAAAGAUCAGAAACUAAAGAUCCAUCGAAACCAUAAUACACAAAGCAAAAUUCUGCAACAGUUUAAUCAUCCAUAGACAUGGAGUUACGGUGAGUAAAAUUCUUUUAAGCUAUUUACUUAGAAACCAACUGUUUGAUCCGCCAAAGAAUUG